This 1427-nucleotide long non-coding RNA is filed under the name Lepidothrix coronata (blue-crowned manakin). RNAcentral's name for it is "lncRNA (ENSLCOG00000008722.1)". The record is from RNAcentral. Lineage: Eukaryota; Metazoa; Chordata; Aves; Passeriformes; Pipridae.
CUUAAUCUGAGUAGCAAACCUUUGCUUCUUCUUAAAAUAACUUCAUGGCUUUUUGUUCUGCUUCUUGUUACGUGGAAUUUGAGCUUUUUUAAGGAACCUUGGUCACAGACCAGACAAGAUGCCUUUGUCUCCUUUCAGCUGGGCUCGGCAGCUGACUUUGUGUGGGAGGGAGAGGUCAGGCAGUGAAAGAGAGGGGAGAGGUGUGGAGGUGACUGUAAAUUGUCCUGCUGGGAUUUGGGGCUGGAAAGGAAGCCCUGCUCAGUGUGAACAAUGGCAUUACGAUGGCUAAUUUUGGCUUUGCAUAAACUGGUGGUGACCCUGCAGUAGUGGUGGUGGCAGUAGCCACUCCUCCUGAAUUGUCCUGAUUGAGUAGAUUUGCAAAGGAAAAAAGGCAAGUACUAAAACACUGGGAUUUAGCAGCAGAGUGGUUGUACUCCUGGACCUGGUUUUUUUGUGCAAAUUCAACAGUUCUUGGAGGAAAGUGCCAUUGGAAAUGUGUCUGGUCGGUGCCCCAGGAGGGAAAGGGAGUGGUGUGAGCUGAGGAGCUGCCCUUCCUCUGUGCUGUGGUCUAGCAGCCAGGCAAGAGCAGAAGGCCCUCAUUUUCACACUGGGAUGCACGGAAUGCCUGCCAAGGGAUUGUGUAAUAUUAAUGCCGUGGCAAACACUUGAAUGCUGUGGUAGUUCUCUCUCCAGAAAGCAGUAUGCCACCCUCCAGAAGCUCCACUUGCAGCAGGCUCCCCAUGUGUGUCCUUCAGCCACGUCCCACUGUGUGUUUCAGGUGCCCCAGGCUGGAGGACGAGCGGGAAUUGGCACCGAGGCAGCCGUGCCAAGAGAACGGUUCCAUCCAGCCACAGCCUUCCUGGGCUGCCCCACCCCAGGUGUCCCGGCCACGGGAGGUUUGGGAACGCAGCAGGAGCCCCCCCAGCCCCCAUUCCCUGAGGGAUGUGGUGCCCAGAGCCGGAGCAGCGCUGCUGGAGAGACCGAGGGGUCCCUGGAGGGAGCACACGGGGACCUGGCUGCCAGCGAGGAAGGCUCUGAGCAGCUCCUCUCCUCAGCUCCUGACCCCACACCAGCCACCCCCGAGGAGGGACAGCUGCAGGGAGGUGUUCCAGGAUCAAAGUCUGUGCUGAGUAACUGGUGGGCUGGCCCGGAGGAGAGCAGUGCAGAGCCCCUGGUGUCCAGCAGUGCCGAGGAGGGGGUGACCCCCAGCACUGCCAGCGAGCAGCAGGAGCGGGACGGGGAUGCCCAGGCUGGGGAGGGCUCCCCACUGCCCCCACUGAGCCCUGCCCUGGCACAGCAGGAGCCCUGGGACAGCUCAGCACCACACAGGGACACAGAAGUGCUGCAGAGUCACCUGAGCCACCAUUCCCUGUUCCUGGAGCAGCACCGGGCUCGGGCCCCGGAGGGAGCAGCAGAGAUGUCUGAUG